CGUCUUGAUUCAGUCAAAUCUUCUAUCCUAGAUCUCCUGAACUCCAACAUUCUUCUACAUAUCGGUACAUAUGUGAAUGUUUGGCUUGCUGGUCUUCAGCAUGCUUUGAAUGCAGUAUCUGGUUUCUCUUACUUUAACCCGCCCAACUUGCACCUGAUUGGCAUGUUAGCCUUUUGAUUCCCUCCCAGUGAGGCGGUGCUUCACAAAGCAAACUGUUUGUCAAACCGUUGAUCUGCCUGGUGGCUGUUUCAGAAGAUGAGGAAACACGGUGACUGAGUUUUAGACAGUACUGGUUUUAGACAGUACUUUUUAUUGUAGCUGCUCAUGUAGCUUUUUUUUUUUUUUACUGGAUGGCAGUCCUAAAAGUACAUGUCUUUAAAAUAUGAAUAAAUACGUACAAUUCCAUAGUUAUUUGAUCCAGCGGUUAUAGAAGUUUGGUAAUAAUGCAAUUCUGGCAUUGUGCUUUCUUAAUUUUUUUCACUUAGUUCCACGACUGCAGUGGAUUUUAUAGUCAAUGUUAAAAUCCAACACAGAGUCUGAAGCGAUGGAGGAAAUUUAUGUCAAUAUGGAACCUGUUGGACAAACUGCAUCUAAUCACACAGGUAAGAAUGAAGUUACAGAGAAAUCUAGUAUGUAUGUUAUUCAAUUUUUUCUAAUGUUAAGGUUUUUGUUAAGGUUGGAGCAGCUCCAAAGAGAGGCUCGGCCUCGGUGUGGUCGUAUUCUUGGGAUUCCUGAAUGUUUUUAUUCUGGCUGAACUCAUAGGCCUCAGUGUACACACUCAUAACAUGACAGCAGAUUUUUCUGACAUCGGCAACAUGCUGACUGAACAGAACAGCAAGUUUCUCUCCAUGAACUCUAACUUCA
Gambusia affinis (western mosquitofish) is the source of this 864-nucleotide long non-coding RNA. RefSeq lists it as uncharacterized. NCBI's taxonomy places the organism in Eukaryota, Metazoa, Chordata, Actinopteri, Cyprinodontiformes, Poeciliidae. The transcript is spliced from 3 exons. The record is from RefSeq and is a predicted model, not a curated record.